AAACCUUUGGAAGAAUUCCCAGGCAAGAUUCAGUCUUCAAAUGUCAGUUUUUCUAUUUCCUUUCAAUUAGGUUUUAAUCCUUUGAUCUAAAUUACCAUAAAUUAGGUUCUAUUCCACCGAGCUUCUUGACACCCAAAUUUGUAAUUCAAAUUGCAAAUGCACCACUUAAAAUCGAAUUAAAUUUCUCUUUGUUGUCAUAAACCUCAUAGCCAUCUUUUCGUUAAACCCUACACAAGUAGCUACUUCCGCAUCUUAGAUUCACAUUCGAAUUUUCACUCAUCUCCAUUUAAAGACAAGAAACUCAGAAAAGAACCCAAUUUCGUCGAUUGUAUAGUUCUUUAAAUGUAGUUGGUAGACAAAGAUCCAAGCAGGGCAGUUUCAAUGUUCUAGGCUGCUAUAAAUGAUGGGGACCAAGUUAAUAGUGCUCUGAAAGACAUGGCAGUUGUGAUGAAACAGUUUGAUCAGAUAAGGCAAUUGAGGCGAUCAAAUCUUUUUGUCAUCUCUGCCCUUAUGAUUCUCAGGAAUCUCUUGACAAUGUUCUUAUCAAACUUUACAAAAGGUCUGGAAAAUUGCAGAAGUGUAGAAAUGCUACGGUGCAAAUUGAAAAAGAUAGGAGAAGGUAUAGCUUUUGGAUAUGAUGAAGGG
Pistacia vera is the source of this 645-nucleotide long non-coding RNA. RefSeq lists it as uncharacterized. The record is from RefSeq and is a predicted model, not a curated record. The transcript is spliced from 3 exons. Lineage: Eukaryota; Viridiplantae; Streptophyta; Magnoliopsida; Sapindales; Anacardiaceae.